UCGACGGGAUCCCGCGGAUGCCAAGCUGCGCAAGAGGGAUCUAGCGCUCAAGGGAGCCGAUGAGACGCGUGCGGCGGUCCAGGGGACCUAGCUAAGGCGAGGCGUCUGAGGGAAUCUGGCACUCGAGUGGCUGCCUCCAGGGUACUCUUGUUGGGUAACCUGUUCUUCUCGAUGGUGCUCCAGCAACUGCAUAAUUCAGGCUGGUGGUGAUUGAGGGUACUGUACACGAGGACAUGUGUAUGGGAACAACAAUACACCAGGCCCACCUAUAUUUCUUUUCUUUUCAUGUACGAUUCCUUUUUCCACAAAACAAUUUCUUUGCCCUGACAUACUGCCAAUCCAAUUUGUACAUACAGGUAAUGUUGUUGGCGAUGGUCAAUUGAUUUGAGCAUAUUUGGAGACUCAUGGGCGCGGCUGUACUGCCGAGUCACCACCGGAGAGAGGAUCCCAGAGGAGAUGGGCAGAUGCUCCAGAGGAUUUUGUACAAACACCAACUUCCUCUUCAUCUAGCUGAUCUUUUCUCGAAAACUUGAGUGACUGGACUUAUGCACUUGUCCCUUAGAGUCAAUGGUCACAUCCUCUUGCGUAUUCAGGCCAGCUCUUCUUUCACCCAAUAUGCCUAUUUCCAAAUAUUCACGUCCUUGGUUCUCUCCCAUCUGACCUGUGACUAAAACUAAAAUUAAUAUGUGCAACUAACAAUGGGGCAUCUCAUGAGAAUGGAGUUGAAACAAUCGAUGUACUGAUGGACAUGUUAUUUUGUUAUUGCGUAUUUGUAUAGUUUGGACCUCCAUCCUGAA
Molecule: long non-coding RNA, 797 nt
Organism: Triticum dicoccoides
Lineage: Eukaryota; Viridiplantae; Streptophyta; Magnoliopsida; Poales; Poaceae
Exons: 2
Source: RefSeq, a predicted model, not a curated record